This 489-nucleotide ribosomal RNA is filed under the name Triticum aestivum (bread wheat). RNAcentral describes it as "partial small subunit ribosomal RNA". Lineage: Eukaryota; Viridiplantae; Streptophyta; Magnoliopsida; Poales; Poaceae. The record is from RNAcentral.
AUGAUUUCGAGGUCUCCCAGCCUCUUCCAGAUCGGCGAGGGUGAGGCCCAGGAUCAGGAUCAGGCGGGGACGCCAACAAUGGCGACCGCCGGCGAGCUCGUCGGGCUCCGGCUGAUCAUACAGCCCUCACCGGGGCGACAACAACGGCCGGCGCUGGCCGUCCUCAGGAGGUCGUCGGUGAGGUCCCCGGCAGCCGACCUCCAGGAGAACAGCGGCUGCCGGCCGUUCGUGGGCCUCGAGUUCUUGAAGUGCUGCCUCUGCUGCUGCAAGAAGAUCGACGGCGACAUGGACGUCUUCGUGUACAAGGGAGAGCAAGCCUUCUGCAGCGACGAGUGCCGGUGUCAGCAGAUAGCGAGGGAGGAGAGGCGGGAGAUCGAGAUCCUGGUCAGGAAGCGCCGUGAAGCGUUCCACAGCCGCCGUGCAGCGCCGGGCAAGACGAUCGGAGGACCGGACCGGCACGCGAGGGUGCAAAUCUCAAGUUUUUGCUAG